Molecule: non-coding RNA, 2320 nt
Organism: Delphinapterus leucas (beluga whale)
Lineage: Eukaryota; Metazoa; Chordata; Mammalia; Artiodactyla; Monodontidae
Source: RefSeq, a predicted model, not a curated record
CAAUGGCGUCACUUGGAGCGACCCAGGCAUGGGCAUUUCACCAGUAGACCGGGGAAGACACACGCGCGACCCGGAAGGCCUCGCCGCAACACUCCAAAGCGGGUGUGAGGGGGGGCCGAUGGCGGAGGGAGCGGUGGAAGCCCCAGCAGAGAGUGGUGGCGGUGGCGACCCAGGAACCAUCGAGCCGGAACGAGGAGUAGCGUCCAUUAAACUUCAAUACCUAACCACCAAGGAGCACUUCCAUGAAUUCCUGGAAGCCAAAGGGCAGGAGAAGCCCAGCCAGGAAACCGAGGCUGGAGACCCUGCUGGCAAUGACCUGGAUGAGCCUGAGGCCAAGCGGAUCCGGCUGGAGGAUUGGCAGACAGAGGACAGGCAGACAGAGGAGGCUGUUGAGCCUGGGGAGCAGCCACAGGCCCAGAAGAGGGCCCGGGGUCAGAACAAAUGCCGGCCCCAUGUGAAGCCCACCCACUAUGACAAGAACAGGCUCUGCCCCUCCCUGGUCCAGGAAUCCACCGCUAAGUGUUUCUAUGGCGACCGCUGCCGCUUCCUGCACGACGUGGGCCGCUACCUGGAGACCAAGCCAGCUGACCUGGGCCCCCACUGUGUGCUCUUUGAGACCUUCGGCAGGUGCCCCUAUGGUGUGACCUGCCGCUUUGCCGGGGCCCAUCUGGGGCCCGAGGGCCAGAAUCUGGUGAAGGAGGGGUUGGUCCAGGCCCCGCCCAUCCGCAAUGGCCUGGACAAGGUCCUGCAGCAGCAACUGCGAAAGCGCAAGAUCCACUUUAAGCAUGCAGAGCAGGCCCUGCGCCAGCUGAGCAAGGGCCAGCUGCCAGGCCCCACCCCCAAAGCCACUGUCCCCGAGGUCAUGGAGGCUGAGGGUGCCCCAGGGCAGGACAACUGUGACGCCCAGCAGGCCCCCCAGGGGCCGGGCACCGUUCCCCCUCCCAGGGGCCCUUUAAGGACCUGCGGGCCCCUGACAGAUGAGGAUGUAGUCAGGUUGCAGCCCUGUGAGAAGAAGCGGCUGGACAUCAGUGGCAAACUGUACCUUGCCCCCCUCACCACGUGUGGGAACCUGCCCUUCCGGCGGGUUUGUAAGCGCUUUGGGGCAGAUGUGACGUGCGGGGAGAUGGCUGUGUGCAUCAACCUGCUGCAGGGCCAGACGUCUGAGUGGGCCCUGCUCAAACGCCACCCCUGCGAGGAUGUCUUCGGUGUCCAGCUUGAGGGCGCCUUUCCCGACACCAUGACCAAGUGUGCCGAGCUGCUGAACCGCACCAUCGAGGUGGAUUUCGUGGACAUCAACGUCGGCUGCCCCAUCGACCUCGUGUACAAGAAGGGCGGGGGCUGCGCCCUCAUGAACCGCUCAGCCAAGUUCCAGCAGAUCGUCCGUGGCAUGAACCAGGUGCUGGACGUGCCACUGACCGUGAAGCUCCGCACGGGUAUCCACGAGCACAUGAAUCUGGCCCACCGGCUGCUGCCCGAGCUGCGGGACUGGGGGGCUGCGCUGGUCACGUCUGUCUCUCUGGGUCUUCUUCUCUCUCUCUGUCUCUGUCUGAUUCUCUGCCCUCUGCCCCUCCCCCCCGCCUGGCUGCCUCUCCUCCAGCUCCACGGCCGCUCGCGGGAGCAGCGCUACACCAAGCUGGCCGACUGGCGGUACAUCGAGCAGUGCGUGACAGCAGCCAGCCCCAUGCCCCUUUUCGGAAACGGGGACAUCUUAUCGUACGAGGACGCCAACCGUGCCAUGCAGACUGGCGUCGCUGGGAUCAUGAUCGCCCGCGGCGCCCUGCUCAAGCCGUGGCUGUUCACGGAGAUCAAGGAGCAGCGGCAUUGGGACAUCUCGUCGUCUGAGCGCCUGGACAUCCUGCGGGACUUUGCACACUAUGGCCUGGAGCACUGGGGCUCGGACACGCAGGGCGUGGAGAAGACACGCCGCUUCCUCCUUGAGUGGCUCUCCUUCCUGUGCAGGUACGUGCCCGUGGGCCUGCUGGAGCGGCUCCCGCAGAGGAUCAACGAGCGGCCACCCUACUACCUGGGCCGCGACUACCUGGAGACGCUCAUGGCCAGCCAGAAGGCGGCCGACUGGAUCCGCAUCAGUGAGAUGCUGCUGGGACCCGUGCCACCCAAUUUCGUCUUCCUGCCCAAGCACAAGGCCAACGCCUACAAGUAGCUGCAGGGGCGGGCGGGGGUGUCUGAGCGCCCAGCGGGCUCCCCAAGGAAUGAGAAGCACCCCAAACACUUGUACGCACCCGCCGCUCCCCAAGAAGGCUUCAGUCCCCAGAGCCUGGAUGCCACCGAAGGGCCCGACAGCCAGCCUGCUUCUGCCUGC